GAUGAACGCUGGCGGCGUGCCUAAUACAUGCAAGUCGAGCGAACGGACGAGAAGCUUGCUUCUCUGAUGUUAGCGGCGGACGGGUGAGUAACACGUGGAUAACCUACCUAUAAGACUGGGAUAACUUCGGGAAACCGGAGCUAAUACCGGAUAAUAUUUUGAACCGCAUGGUUCAAAAGUGAAAGACGGUCUUGCUGUCACUUAUAGAUGGAUCCGCGCUGCAUUAGCUAGUUGGUAAGGUAACGGCUUACCAAGGCAACGAUGCAUAGCCGACCUGAGAGGGUGAUCGGCCACACUGGAACUGAGACACGGUCCAGACUCCUACGGGAGGCAGCAGUAGGGAAUCUUCCGCAAUGGGCGAAAGCCUGACGGAGCAACGCCGCGUGAGUGAUGAAGGUCUUCGGAUCGUAAAACUCUGUUAUUAGGGAAGAACAUAUGUGUAAGUAACUGUGCACAUCUUGACGGUACCUAAUCAGAAAGCCACGGCUACCUACG
This 495-nucleotide ribosomal RNA is filed under the name uncultured bacterium. RNAcentral describes it as "partial 16S ribosomal RNA". It matches the Rfam family "Bacterial small subunit ribosomal RNA", at positions 28 to 505 of the family's 1533-position model. The record is from RNAcentral.